RNAcentral lists this ribosomal RNA (458 nucleotides) under uncultured bacterium. RNAcentral's name for it is "bacterial SSU rRNA". It matches the Rfam family "Bacterial small subunit ribosomal RNA", at positions 29 to 506 of the family's 1533-position model. The record is from RNAcentral.
GUGAACGCUGGCGGCGUGCUUAACACAUGCAAGUCGAACGGACUUAAUGAGCUUGCUUAUUAAGUUAGUGGCGCACGGGUGAGUAAUAUAUAGCUAACCUGCCCUUUAGUGGGGGACAACAGUUGGAAACGACUGCUAAUACCCCAUACUCCUUCUUGUCUUAAGAUAAGUUGGGAAAGAUUUAUCGCUAAAGGAUGGGGCUUUAUUGUAUCAGCUAGUUGGUGGGGUAAUGGCCUACCAAGGCAAUGACGCAUACCUGGUCUGAGAGGAUGAUCAGGCACACUGGAACUGAGACACGGUCCAGACUCCUACGGGAGGCAGCAGUGGGGAAUAUUGCACAAUGGAGGAAACUCUGAUGCAGCAACGCCGCGUGGAGGAUGACGCAUUUCGGUGUGUAAACUCCUCUUAAGAGGGAAGAUAAUGACGGUACCUCUUGAAUAAGCACCGGCUAACUCCGU